AACGAACGCUGGCGGCAGGCCUAACACAUGCAAGUCGAGCGCACCUUCGGGUGAGCGGCGGACGGGUUAGUAACGCGUGGGAACGUACCCUUUCUACGGAAUAGCCUUUGGAAACGAAGAGUAAUACCGUAUACGCCCUUUUGGGGGAAAGAUUUAUCGGAGAAGGAUCGGCCCGCGUUAGAUUAGGUAGUUGGUGGGGUAACGGCCUACCAAGCCUACGAUCUAUAGCUGGUUUUAGAGGAUGAUCAGCAACACUGGGACUGAGACACGGCCCAGACUCCUACGGGAGGCAGCAGUGGGGAAUCUUAGACAAUGGGGGCAACCCUGAUCUAGCCAUGCCGCGUGAGUGAUGAAGGCCUUAGGGUCGUAAAGCUCUUUCGCCUGUGAUGAUAAUGACAGUAGCAGGUAAAGAAACCCCGGCUAACUCCGUG
This 431-nucleotide ribosomal RNA is filed under the name uncultured bacterium. RNAcentral describes it as "bacterial SSU rRNA". It matches the Rfam family "Bacterial small subunit ribosomal RNA", at positions 29 to 507 of the family's 1533-position model. The record is from RNAcentral.